GACAAGGCUUAGCACCGAUCCCGGUGCCGCAUCGUUCCCGGCUCCUGGGAGCGAGGGGGUGCAGCACGGAGCGCGCUCCCCCAUCAGCUGCCCGGCCAGGCCUGCCGGCCGAAGCGAUUUGCCUGCUAGGAAGCUGGAUUUAGUCAAUCUGGGAAAUUCGCGGCCGUGAGUCAGUCUCACGGCUUGAGCAGCCGCGGCGCAGCCCUGUUUCCUGGCGCCACCUGCAGCGUGCAGAGCUCGGGGUAUUUCCCCGUCACCGGCCGCUGGUGGAGCGCGAACAGCUCGGCCGGGUGCUGCAGAGCCGCCCUCGCAGCCGCAGAGGUGACAUUUCCGAAGCAGCUGAAGCGUGUAGCUGUAGGAUGCAAGGCAGAGACAACAGCUGAAGGGAUGGGGAUUGCUGGCCAAUGUUCCUGGAGAAACUACCACCACCAUCACGGAUUCACCUUUCAAGUAGCCCAAUGGCACCUGAGGCUCUGGGGGCUCAACUGGCCUGCAAAAAGGUGGGCAGUGAAGGAUGUCUUUGAGGGUCUAAUGCAGAUGGAGUUUGGUGGGCAUCUCUGUCUGCCAAGAUCAGGAAAGGACUCCUGCAGACCAGGAAAGCCAAAACUGAGUGAAGAGCAGUAAGAAGAGAAGGAAGAUGGAGCUGGAGGCAAGCCUGACCAUGCUGAAGCUCAGGAUCUAAGCUUUUGGACAGCCACUCCUGCAGUUAUUCCAGCAAUGUCCCACACUGAAGACCCUGAGCCUGCCCAGGACCAGGAGACACAGAUGGGACCGUAUGUGACCUGCACCAUCAGAGCACUCCUUCAUGUCAGCCAGCUCAGACUUUCCACAGAGCAAACUAUGUGCAGACUAGUAAAUAAUGAAGAUUGUAUUCUCCCUUGUGAUGAGAUCUCCAUUUCCUCCUUGUUAAUGUCCUGCAACUUUGCUAGACUAGGAGGUAAGUCUCCCAUUUUGCGUGGUGUGUAUCACAGUUCCCACAGUUACAAGGAUACUCACUGUGUAUAUGAAUGUUUUUCUAUGUUACAGCAGGUAAUUUGAUUAGCUCAGUACUCAGACCAUUUAUUUCCUUUCAAAAUCUUUAUGACUGAAUUUUGUCGCACAGAACAAGACUUUUAUAUUUAAAUAGAACAAAUAGGCAAUUCCACACUGGUACAGUUAAAUGAAUUUGUUUUUUAUAACAGGAAAGUUGUUUGUUGCAACCAUUUAAAUACAAAGACAACUGGAUGAGCUAGCAAGUUAUUAAUUCCUUUUCAUUUUGGAAAAGGCUGGUGUAUCAAUUGAUAAUGUAUUUUACUUUGCAUUUGUAUAAUGAGUUUUCUUUAGUUGAAUCCCUAAACAGCAGGGGAACUCAGUUCAGCUGAAUUGGCCAUGCUGAGUCAUAACAAUUCAGAAGCUGCAAGGGCAAAAAAUCUAAUUAUCCUCUGGCCCUCACCAUAGAUCAUGUCUCUCUGGGCAAAGGUUGGUGGGUAGUACUAAAUAACUGUGGUAAUCUUCUCCAUUCAGAUCCUUCUAGCUAGUAACUGUUCUGGGGUUGUUCUGUAAUGGUCUUUAAUGCCACAUUUGACUCUGCCUCCAGCAACUUCAAAGGAACUAGAUGUAACUGGAGCAGGUGGCCAUUUCGUGUCAUGACAUUGUGCAGAUUAUAUCUUUAUCACCUUUAUCUGGGAAAUAUGCAUCCAUGAGGAAGCAUGUACUUCAUGUUAUCAAAUUAGCAGGGCUGCAUUCUUCAAGGGUUGUGUAGUUAACAUGCAGGGUAAAUUACAUCAGUGGAGCAGUUCACUGUGAAGCAAAUACUUCAAAGAGCUCAUUGCCUCCUUGUGGGUGUUCAACAAGUGGGAUUGGGCUCAAUUGCA
This 1853-nucleotide long non-coding RNA is filed under the name Anser cygnoides (Swan goose). Its description in RNAcentral is "lncRNA (ENSACDG00005002900.1)". Lineage: Eukaryota; Metazoa; Chordata; Aves; Anseriformes; Anatidae. The record is from RNAcentral.